This is a small nuclear RNA of Ictidomys tridecemlineatus (thirteen-lined ground squirrel), 105 nucleotides long. NCBI's taxonomy places the organism in Eukaryota, Metazoa, Chordata, Mammalia, Rodentia, Sciuridae. The record is from Ensembl.
GUGCUUGCUUCAACAUCUUAUAUACUGAAAUUGGAAUUAGAGGGAAGAUGAGCCUGGCCUCUUUACAAGCAUGACAUAUGAAUUUGUGAAGCAUUUUGUAUAUUU